AGGAUGAACGCUAGCGACAGGCUUAACACAUGCAAGUCGAGGGCAGCAUAAAAGUAGCAAUACUUGGUGGCGACCGGCGCACGGGUGAGUAACGCGUAUGCAACCUACCUAUCAGAGGGGAAUAACCCGGCGAAAGUCGGACUAAUACCGCAUAAAACAGGGACACCGCAUGGUGAUAUUUGUUAAAGAAAUUCGCUGAUAGAUGGGCAUGCGUUCCAUUAGGUAGUUGGUGAGGUAACGGCUCACCAAGCCGACGAUGGAUAGGGGAACUGAGAGGUUGGUCCCCCACACUGGCACUGAGACACGGACCAGACUCCUACGGGAGGCAGCAGUGAGGAAUAUUGGUCAAUGGGCGAGAGCCUGAACCAGCCAAGUCGCGUGAAGGAAGAAGGAUCUAUGGUUCGUAAACUUCUUUUGCAGGGGAAUAAAGUGCAGGACGUGUCCUGUUUUGUAUGUACCCUGAGAAUAAGGAUCGGCUAACUCCGUGCCAGCCGCCGC
RNAcentral lists this ribosomal RNA (498 nucleotides) under uncultured bacterium. RNAcentral's name for it is "bacterial SSU rRNA". It matches the Rfam family "Bacterial small subunit ribosomal RNA", at positions 26 to 518 of the family's 1533-position model. The record is from RNAcentral.